Molecule: ribosomal RNA, 465 nt
Filed under: Vreelandella stevensii
Lineage: Bacteria; Pseudomonadati; Pseudomonadota; Gammaproteobacteria; Oceanospirillales; Halomonadaceae
Description: partial 16S ribosomal RNA
Rfam family: Bacterial small subunit ribosomal RNA
Source: RNAcentral
CCUACGGGUGGCAGCAGUGGGGAAUAUUGGACAAUGGGCGAAAGCCUGAUCCAGCCAUGCCGCGUGUGUGAAGAAGGCCUUCGGGUUGUAAAGCACUUUCAGUGGGGAAGAAAGCCUUGGGGCUAAUACCCUCGAGGAAGGACAUCACCCACAGAAGAAGCACCGGCUAACUCCGUGCCAGCAGCCGCGGUAAUACGGAGGGUGCGAGCGUUAAUCGGAAUUACUGGGCGUAAAGCGCGCGUAGGCGGUCUGAUAAGCCGGUUGUGAAAGCCCCGGGCUCAACCUGGGAACGGCAUCCGGAACUGUCAGGCUAGAGUGCAGGAGAGGAAGGUAGAAUCCCCGGUGUAGCGGUGAAAUGCGUAGAGAUCGGGAGGAAUACCAGUGGCGAAGGCGGCCUUCUGGACUGACACUGACGCUGAGGUGCGAAAGCGUGGGUAGCAAACAGGAUUAGAUACCCUGGUAGUC